RNAcentral lists this long non-coding RNA (427 nucleotides) under Sus scrofa (pig). RNAcentral's name for it is "lncRNA (ENSSSCG00025017486.1, ENSSSCG00035048009.1)". Lineage: Eukaryota; Metazoa; Chordata; Mammalia; Artiodactyla; Suidae. The record is from RNAcentral.
AUGGGGAGAGCUGGACCAGGAGACAUGAGUGAAGAGAGGAGGCGGUGUGAGAAUGUGGAGGAUAUGGCACUCAUCCAUGUGACUGUGUCGCACUGGGGCUUCAUAAUCUAUGAACUCCUGAGUCCACUGAGUUCUAGGAACUAUGGAACAGUUAGCACAGUUCUGAAGUUGUGGUCACAACAAUGGUAGCAGGAGGCUACUUAGAAGGCCUGAUAGAACAGCAGUGAUUGGAAGAACAACUGCAGAAAACCAAAGUGGAAACGGACCCAAAGCAACUGGGAAAAUUUUUGUUUUACAUCAAAUACUGGUUUUUCUUUACUAAAAGGUUAUAUCAAGUCAGAGAUUGCUCUAUUUCUGUAUAAAAAUUCCUCUUUGACAAAAAAAAUACCUUAUUAAAUCUAAAUAAAGCAGGAGGGGGUGGGGAGCA